UGGUGGGUUGCCUUGUCAGGUUGAUUCCGGUAACGAACGAGACCUCAGCCUGCUAAAUAGUCACGAUUGGUUUUCCAGUCGGCCGACUUCUUAGAGGGACUAUUGGCGAUUAGCCAGUGGAAGUGUGAGGCAAUAACA
This 138-nucleotide ribosomal RNA is filed under the name uncultured eukaryote. RNAcentral describes it as "partial 18S ribosomal RNA". It matches the Rfam family "Eukaryotic small subunit ribosomal RNA", at positions 1299 to 1458 of the family's 1831-position model. The record is from RNAcentral.